CUAACAUUUUCUCCACAGUUUAUAAACAUUGUGGGCCAGUUUUAAAAGCUGAACACUUUUUUUUUCUUAGCUAUAGAUUUGCUCGUGUUUUGGUUUAUUGUUUAUUUUCUGUAUGCUUAAGGUGAUUUACAGUUAACGUGUUUCUACACUAGAAAAGAAACUCAUUUAAAGCUUUUUCCCCUGCAACCUGCUUAUUUAUAUGUUCGUUUAACUUACUAUAUUCUUCUUUUUAUUUUUUUCUAUCAAUAAUCAUGUAGGACCAGUAUUUUGUGUUCCUGGUAGGAUAGACGGUUCCGGUGGCUUAAACUUAAAAUAUUGAAACCCUUGCUGUAUGUUGCAUAAGUAAUUAUGCCACUAUGCCAAAAUAAGUGUCAGGCUUUUCAUUGAUUCAGGGUUGUUUAAAAG
RNAcentral lists this unclassified non-coding RNA (405 nucleotides) under Hevea brasiliensis (rubber tree). Lineage: Eukaryota; Viridiplantae; Streptophyta; Magnoliopsida; Malpighiales; Euphorbiaceae. The record is from RNAcentral.